GGCUCAGAGCGAACGCUGGCGGCAGGCUUAACACAUGCAAGUCGAGCGGACCUUUCGGGGUCAGCGGCGGACGGGUGAGUAACGCGUGGGAACGUGCCUUCCGGUUCGGAAUAACCCUGGGAAACUAGGGCUAAUACCGGAUACGCCCUUAUGGGGAAAGGUUUACUGCCGGAAGAUCGGCCCGCGUCUGAUUAGCUAGUUGGUGGGGUAACGGCCUACCAAGGCGACGAUCAGUAGCUGGUCUGAGAGGAUGAUCAGCCACACUGGGACUGAGACACGGCCCAGACUCCUACGGGAGGCAGCAGUGGGGAAUAUUGGACAAUGGGCGCAAGCCUGAUCCAGCCAUGCCGCGUGAGUGAUGAAGGCCUUAGGGUUGUAAAGCUCUUUUAUCCGGGACGAUAAUGACGGUACCGGAGGAAUAAGCCCCGGCUAACUUCGUGCCAGCAGCCGCGGUAAUACGAAGGGGGCUAGCGUUGCUCGGAAUCACUGGGCGUAAAGGGCGCGUAGGCGGCGUUUUAAGUCGGGGGUGAAAGCCUGUGGCUCAACCACAGAAUGGCCUUCGAUACUGGGACGCUUGAGUAUGGUAGAGGUUGGUGGAACUGCGAGUGUAGAGGUGAAAUUCGUAGAUAUUCGCAAGAACACCGGUGGCGAAGGCGGCCAACUGGACCAUUACUGACGCUGAGGCGCGAA
Molecule: ribosomal RNA, 690 nt
Filed under: Methylobacterium sp. Sco-D13
Lineage: Bacteria; Pseudomonadati; Pseudomonadota; Alphaproteobacteria; Hyphomicrobiales; Methylobacteriaceae
Description: bacterial SSU rRNA
Rfam family: Bacterial small subunit ribosomal RNA
Source: RNAcentral